CUAGUGUCCUUCACCGCCCGAGUCCUUGAUCCCUCCAAGCGUCUCCGAGUUGGUGAACUUGUGUCCUUCACCGGGGGGGCUUGGGCCCAAGUCCUUAAUCCCUCCAAGCGUCUCCGAGUUGGUGAACUUGUGUCCAGCUUGCUUGAUGGCCCCAAGUGACAACCCGUCGAAGAACCCUCCGCAGGCAACUCCCACUGGAGCUUUCGGCUCCAUCACAUUGAAGGGUCGAGCUCCGUUCGCAACGAAAGUGGGGCUGAGCAUCGCCAGGACCAAGAGAAUGUGGAGAGCCCUUGUUGUGCUCCUCAUGUUCGAUGAAAUUACUGACAGAGACAAUAAAAAGCAAAUUUUUACCGACAGAGACAAUAAAGAGCAAAUGUUUUUAUUUGUUUGAAG
Molecule: long non-coding RNA, 393 nt
Filed under: Eucalyptus grandis
Lineage: Eukaryota; Viridiplantae; Streptophyta; Magnoliopsida; Myrtales; Myrtaceae
Description: long non-coding RNA (EGRA_LNC004841)
Source: RNAcentral